UACGUAGGGUGCGAGCGUUAAUCGGAAUUACUGGGCGUAAAGCGUGCGCAGGCGGUUCGUUAUGUCCGAUGUGAAAGCCCCGAGCUUAACUUGGGAAUGGCAUUGGAAACUGGCGGGCUGGAGUGUGGCAGAGGGGGGUGGAAUUCCACGUGUAGCAGUGAAAUGCGUAGAGAUGUGGAGGAACACCGAUGGCGAAGGCAGCCCCCUGGGCCGACACUGACGCUCAGGCACGAAAGCGUGGGGAGCAAACAGG
Molecule: ribosomal RNA, 253 nt
Filed under: uncultured bacterium
Lineage: Bacteria
Description: partial 16S ribosomal RNA
Rfam family: Bacterial small subunit ribosomal RNA
Source: RNAcentral